AGCGUACACGGUGGAUGCCCUGGCAGUCAGAGGCGAUGAAGGACGUGCUAAUCUGCGAUAAGCGUCGGUGAGGUGAUAUGAACCGUUAUAACCGGCGAUUUCCGAAUGGGGAAACCCAGUGUGUUUCGACACACUAUCAUUAACUGAAUCCAUAGGUUAAUGAGGCGAACCGGGGGAACUGAAACAUCUAAGUACCCCGAGGAAAAGAAAUCAACCGAGAUUCCCCCAGUAGCGGCGAGCGAACGGGGAGGAGCCCAGAGCCUGAAUCAGUGUGUGUGUUAGUGGAAGCGUCUGGAAAGGCGCGCGAUACAGGGUGACAGCCCCGUACACAAAAAUGCACAUAUUGUGAGCUCGAUGAGUAGGGCGGGACACGUGGUAUCCUGUCUGAAUAUGGGGGGACCAUCCUCCAAGGCUAAAUACUCCUGACUGACCGAUAGUGAACCAGUACCGUGAGGGAAAGGCGAAAAGAACCCCGGCGAGGGGAGUGAAAAAGAACCUGAAACCGUGUACGUACAAGCAGUGGGAGCCUCUUAAUGGGGUGACUGCGUACCUUUUGUAUAAUGGGUCAGCGACUUAUAUUCUGUAGCAAGGUUAACCGAAUAGGGGAGCCGAAGGGAAACCGAGUCUUAACUGGGCGUUAAGUUGCAGGGUAUAGACCCGAAACCCGGUGAUCUAGCCAUGGGCAGGUUGAAGGUUGGGUAACACUAACUGGAGGACCGAACCGACUAAUGUUGAAAAAUUAGCGGAUGACUUGUGGCUGGGGGUGAAAGGCCAAUCAAACCGGGAGAUAGCUGGUUCUCCCCGAAAGCUAUUUAGGUAGCGCCUCGUGAAUUCAUCUCCGGGGGUAGAGCACUGUUUCGGCAAGGGGGUCAUCCCGACUUACCAACCCGAUGCAAACUGCGAAUACCGGAGAAUGUUAUCACGGGAGACACACGGCGGGUGCUAACGUCCGUCGUGAAGAGGGAAACAACCCAGACCGCCAGCUAAGGUCCCAAAGUCAUGGUUAAGUGGGAAACGAUGUGGGAAGGCCCAGACAGCCAGGAUGUUGGCUUAGAAGCAGCCAUCAUUUAAAGAAAGCGUAAUAGCUCACUGGUCGAGUCGGCCUGCGCGGAAGAUGUAACGGGGCUAAACCAUGCACCGAAGCUGCGGCAGCGACACUAUGUGUUGUUGGGUAGGGGAGCGUUCUGUAAGCCUGUGAAGGUGUGCUGUGAGGCAUGCUGGAGGUAUCAGAAGUGCGAAUGCUGACAUAAGUAACGAUAAAGCGGGUGAAAAGCCCGCUCGCCGGAAGACCAAGGGUUCCUGUCCAACGUUAAUCGGGGCAGGGUGAGUCGACCCCUAAGGCGAGGCCGAAAGGCGUAGUCGAUGGGAAACAGGUUAAUAUUCCUGUACUUGGUGUUACUGCGAAGGGGGGACGGAGAAGGCUAUGUUGGCCGGGCGACGGUUGUCCCGGUUUAAGCGUGUAGGCUGGUUUUCCAGGCAAAUCCGGAAAACCAAGGCUGAGGCGUGAUGACGAGGCACUACGGUGCUGAAGUGACAAAUGCCCUGCUUCCAGGAAAAGCCUCUAAGCAUCAGGUAACAUCAAAUCGUACCCCAAACCGACACAGGUGGUCAGGUAGAGAAUACCAAGGCGCUUGAGAGAACUCGGGUGAAGGAACUAGGCAAAAUGGUGCCGUAACUUCGGGAGAAGGCACGCUGAUAUGUAGGUGAAGCGACUUGCUCGUGGAGCUGAAAUCAGUCGAAGAUACCAGCUGGCUGCAACUGUUUAUUAAAAACACAGCACUGUGCAAACACGAAAGUGGACGUAUACGGUGUGACGCCUGCCCGGUGCCGGAAGGUUAAUUGAUGGGGUUAGCGGCAACGCGAAGCUCUUGAUCGAAGCCCCGGUAAACGGCGGCCGUAACUAUAACGGUCCUAAGGUAGCGAAAUUCCUUGUCGGGUAAGUUCCGACCUGCACGAAUGGCGUAAUGAUGGCCAGGCUGUCUCCACCCGAGACUCAGUGAAAUUGAACUCGCUGUGAAGAUGCAGUGUACCCGCGGCAAGACGGAAAGACCCCGUGAACCUUUACUAUAGCUUGACACUGAACAUUGAGCCUUGAUGUGUAGGAUAGGUGGGAGGCUUUGAAGUGUGGACGCCAGUCUGCAUGGAGCCGACCUUGAAAUACCACCCUUUAAUGUUUGAUGUUCUAACGUUGGCCCCUGAUCGGGGUUGCGGACAGUGUCUGGUGGGUAGUUUGACUGGGGCGGUCUCCUCCUAAAGAGUAACGGAGGAGCACGAAGGUUGGCUAAUCCUGGUCGGACAUCAGGAGGUUAGUGCAAUGGCAUAAGCCAGCUUGACUGCGAGCGUGACGGCGCGAGCAGGUGCGAAAGCAGGUCAUAGUGAUCCGGUGGUUCUGAAUGGAAGGGCCAUCGCUCAACGGAUAAAAGGUACUCCGGGGAUAACAGGCUGAUACCGCCCAAGAGUUCAUAUCGACGGCGGUGUUUGGCACCUCGAUGUCGGCUCAUCACAUCCUGGGGCUGAAGUAGGUCCCAAGGGUAUGGCUGUUCGCCAUUUAAAGUGGUACGCGAGCUGGGUUUAGAACGUCGUGAGACAGUUCGGUCCCUAUCUGCCGUGGGCGCUGGAGAACUGAGGGGGGCUGCUCCUAGUACGAGAGGACCGGAGUGGACGCAUCACUGGUGUUCGGGUUGUCAUGCCAAUGGCACUGCCCGGUAGCUAAAUGCGGAAGAGAUAAGUGCUGAAAGCAUCUAAGCACGAAACUUGCCCCGAGAUGAGUUCUCCCUGACUCCUUGA
RNAcentral lists this ribosomal RNA (2787 nucleotides) under Escherichia coli. RNAcentral describes it as "bacterial LSU rRNA". It matches the Rfam family "Bacterial large subunit ribosomal RNA". Lineage: Bacteria; Pseudomonadati; Pseudomonadota; Gammaproteobacteria; Enterobacterales; Enterobacteriaceae. The record is from RNAcentral.